GAGAGGUACCGAUAAUCUUGGAAUUAUGAAUUAUAGAAAAGAAUUUCUCGCAAAUCAAGAUUCAAAAACACGAAGAUAAAAAACCAAAUUAUUGAAAUAUGUGCUAUGAAAUUCUUGCUUAACAUGUAAUUCGGAUUAAAACAAAAAAAAAAGAUGUAUGUAUAAUAAUAUUAAUAUCUAAUAUCUUUUCCAAAUUUUAAUAAAACUACAAUUUCUAAUUUAAUUAUAUACAGGGGUACAUAACAUAUAGAAAAUAGCAGAGUUUUAUGAUAUACAUAUAUGAUUUUGUUCAAGAGUAAAACUAAGAAAACAUCCUCCCCAGAGAAUCUUUCAUUAAAUUUACAUACAUAUACAUAUAAAAUUAGUCAAAAAAUCCAUCGUUAAAAGAAACGGGAUACUUUAUACAAUACUGAUCUAUUUUAAGCAAUGCGGAGAAUCUUCGACAAAAAUACGUUCACAGAUAUAAAAUUAGAAGAAUUAAAGAUUUGGGACGAAAUCAUAUGAUCGUAAUAUAAACAUUCUGUACAAAAGAGACAAAAAACAGAGAGAGAAAGAUUUUCUCUUACCUCUUUAUCCAGAUACGUUCAAUUCGCUCCUUCUGUCCUGAGUCACAUAUUCUAAACGAAGGUAGAGCACUAUUGAAGAAAGGGCACCAGGAGAACCAGGCCAGAAGAGAGAUAGAGUGCGGGUAGGGGGACGAGAACGAGUGCAAUGCAUCGCGGUCACUCCAGUGACCUAGUAAUGUCCGCCGCGACCUUAGUUGCGACGUGUUCACCCGUUUAAACCACCCUUCGUCCCCCUCUUUUCCCCAGUCCCCGUUUCCCCUCGCCAUCAUCAUUCUCCUACUCCCCCUCUUGCUCCCUUUCUCCUAUCCGCACCACACGUGACACCAGUAUGGCGCGAGGGGGCGAAGGGGGCCAGGCGUGGGAUAUUCUCGCAAGGUGCGGAAAGGGGGAAUCAAGAGAAAGAGAGAGAGAGAGAGAGAGAGAGAGAAAAAGCGAAAAGGGCGAGCAGGGAGAGGAUGAUAUAUACAAAACACAAGGUCGCAAGAGAAGUGCGAUUGUGUGGACGGCCGUGUCGGUGAAGAUGCGGUGUGACGUAACAUUCGGCGACGACGCGAACACGUGAUUCGCACGGUGGUUAUCAUGGUGUUUACCAUAUGACAUUGCCCCUAUUCACCAAUGUCUUUCGUCGGAUCUCCAUAUUGUUUAAGUUUAAAGUCUGUGGAAAAAGUGAGGAAUGUGAAAUGAAAUGGUAUAGAAUUCGUACAAAUCGAUCAGUAGACCGAGAUAGAUUUAUAAUAUGCUCUAAAUUAAGCAGCACUUAUUUGGAAGAAAAAGGAAACAAGUCCACAAGAGUUCUAUAAAACGAUAUUUUGGAAAUUAGUACUACGUAGUAAAUUUGGAACUGGUAUUUGAGAAAUUUUGCAAAACAGCCGGUGCAGGGUAGAAAUCUAAUCGUUUCGAGCGGAUACACUCUUACCUGGCGAUAUGCCCGGAAAAUCCCCAAAGGUGGAAACGGAGCCGAGAUAGAAGAGCCUGGGGACUAAGGACGGAAAAGGGAUGGAGUACGGAACAUAAUCUCCCAGCGGUAUUCUCGGACCCUCUGCCGGGGUAGCAAAAGCUCAUUAGAAGUCGCCCUUUGAAAAUCGUCCUGUUACAAGCAGCUGCCGUACGGCGCAGUAACGGACGCUUCAUGGCGCUAUUUUUCCAGGGACGUCGCUCAAAGGGACGACAAAGAGCCGGUCGGACCGUAAGCCUUGAAGGGCGGCAGCCCUACGAAGGGGAAACGGGUUCCAUGCUGCCGCCAAAGUCUUCAAUGGGACCCUAUGGAA
This is a long non-coding RNA of Formica exsecta, 1834 nucleotides long. RefSeq lists it as uncharacterized. The transcript has 3 exons. NCBI's taxonomy places the organism in Eukaryota, Metazoa, Arthropoda, Insecta, Hymenoptera, Formicidae. The record is from RefSeq and is a predicted model, not a curated record.